RNAcentral lists this ribosomal RNA (305 nucleotides) under uncultured bacterium. RNAcentral describes it as "bacterial SSU rRNA". It matches the Rfam family "Bacterial small subunit ribosomal RNA", at positions 336 to 657 of the family's 1533-position model. The record is from RNAcentral.
CUCCUACGGGGGGCAGCAGUCGGGAAUAUUGCGCAAUGGAGGAAACUCUGACGCAGUGACGCCGCGUAUAGGAAGAGGGUUUUCGGAUUGUAAACUAUUGUCGUUAGGGAAGAUAAAAGACUGUACCUAAGGAGGAAGCCCCGGCUAACUAUGUGCCAGCAGCCGCGGUAAUACAUAGGGGGCAAGCGUUAUCCGGAAUUAUUGGGUGUAAAGGGUGCGUAGACGGAAGAACAAGUUGGUUGUGAAAUCCCCAGGCUCAACUUGGGAAUUGCAACUAAAACUGGUUUUCUUGAGUACUGGAGAGG